AUUGAACGCUGGCGGCAGGCCUAACACAUGCAAGUCGAGCGGAUGAAGGGAGCUUGCUCCUGGAUUCAGCGGCGGACGGGUGAGUAAUGCCUAGGAAUCUGCCUGGUAGUGGGGGAUAACGUCCGGAAACGGGCGCUAAUACCGCAUACGUCCUGAGGGAGAAAGUGGGGGAUCUUCGGACCUCACGCUAUCAGAUGAGCCUAGGUCGGAUUAGCUAGUUGGUGGGGUAAAGGCCUACCAAGGCGACGAUCCGUAACUGGUCUGAGAGGAUGAUCAGUCACACUGGAACUGAGACACGGUCCAGACUCCUACGGGAGGCAGCAGUGGGGAAUAUUGGACAAUGGGCGAAAGCCUGAUCCAGCCAUGCCGCGUGUGUGAAGAAGGUCUUCGGAUUGUAAAGCACUUUAAGUGGGGAGGAAGGGCAGUAAGUUAAGACCUUGCUGUUUUGACGUUACCAACAGAAUAAGCACCGGCUAACUUCGUG
RNAcentral lists this ribosomal RNA (484 nucleotides) under uncultured bacterium. RNAcentral's name for it is "partial 16S ribosomal RNA". It matches the Rfam family "Bacterial small subunit ribosomal RNA", at positions 30 to 507 of the family's 1533-position model. The record is from RNAcentral.